RNAcentral lists this ribosomal RNA (458 nucleotides) under uncultured bacterium. Its description in RNAcentral is "partial 16S ribosomal RNA". It matches the Rfam family "Bacterial small subunit ribosomal RNA", at positions 338 to 795 of the family's 1533-position model. The record is from RNAcentral.
CCUACGGGGGGCAGCAGUGGGGAAUAUUGCACAAUGGGGGAAACCCUGAUGCAGCGACGCCGCGUGAGUGAAGAAGUAAUUCGUUACGUAAAGCUCUAUCAGCAGGGAAGAAACACUGACCUUACGGUCAGCAGACGGUACCUGAGUAAGAAGCCCCGGCUAACUACGUGCCAGCAGCCGCGGUAAUACGUAGGGGGCAAGCGUUAUCCGGAUUUACUGGGUGUAAAGGGAGCGCAGGCGGCCUGCCAAGUCUGGUGUGAAAACCCGGGGCCCAACCCCGGGCCUGCAUUGGAAACUGGCGGGCUGGAGUGUCGGAGGGGCAGGCGGAAUUCCUAGUGUAGCGGUGAAAUGCGUAGAUAUUAGGAGGAACACCGGUGGCGAAGGCGGCCUGCUGGACGAUGACUGACGCUGAGGCUCGAAAGCGUGGGGAGCAAACAGGAUUAGAUACCCCUGUAGUC